This 972-nucleotide ribosomal RNA is filed under the name Escherichia coli. RNAcentral describes it as "partial 23S ribosomal RNA". It matches the Rfam family "Bacterial large subunit ribosomal RNA", at positions 648 to 1619 of the family's 2925-position model. Lineage: Bacteria; Pseudomonadati; Pseudomonadota; Gammaproteobacteria; Enterobacterales; Enterobacteriaceae. The record is from RNAcentral.
AAGCAGUAAAUGUGGAGCCGUAGCGAAAGCGAGUCUGAAUAGGGCGUUUAGUAUUUGGUCGUAGACCCGAAACCAGGUGAUCUACCCUUGGUCAGGUUGAAGUUCAGGUAACACUGAAUGGAGGACCGAACCGACUUACGUUGAAAAGUGAGCGGAUGAACUGAGGGUAGCGGAGAAAUUCCAAUCGAACCUGGAGAUAGCUGGUUCUCUCCGAAAUAGCUUUAGGGCUAGCCUCAAGUGAUGAUUAUUGGAGGUAGAGCACUGUUUGGACGAGGGGCCCCUCUCGGGUUACCGAAUUCAGACAAACUCCGAAUGCCAAUUAAUUUAACUUGGGAGUCAGAACAUGGGUGAUAAGGUCCGUGUUCGAAAGGGAAACAGCCCAGACCACCAGCUAAGGUCCCAAAAUAUAUGUUAAGUGGAAAAGGAUGUGGCGUUGCCCAGACAACUAGGAUGUUGGCUUAGAAGCAGCCAUCAUUUAAAGAGUGCGUAAUAGCUCACUAGUCGAGUGACACUGCGCCGAAAAUGUACCGGGGCUAAACAUAUUACCGAAGCUGUGGAUUGUCCUUUGGACAAUGGUAGGAGAGCGUUCUAAGGGCGUUGAAGCAUGAUCGUAAGGACAUGUGGAGCGCUUAGAAGUGAGAAUGCCGGUGUGAGUAGCGAAAGACGGGUGAGAAUCCCGUCCACCGAUUGACUAAGGUUUCCAGAGGAAGGCUCGUCCGCUCUGGGUUAGUCGGGUCCUAAGCUGAGGCCGACAGGCGUAGGCGAUGGAUAACAGGUUGAUAUUCCUGUACCACCUAUAAUCGUUUUAAUCGAUGGGGGGACGCAGUAGGAUAGGCGAAGCGUGCGAUUGGAUUGCACGUCUAAGCAGUAAGGCUGAGUAUUAGGCAAAUCCGGUACUCGUUAAGGCUGAGCUGUGAUGGGGAGAAGACAUUGUGUCUUCGAGUCGUUGAUUUCACACUGCCGAGAAAAACC